This 555-nucleotide ribosomal RNA is filed under the name Psalidodon paranae. RNAcentral's name for it is "Astyanax paranae partial large subunit ribosomal RNA". It matches the Rfam family "Bacterial large subunit ribosomal RNA", at positions 1838 to 2597 of the family's 2925-position model. Lineage: Eukaryota; Metazoa; Chordata; Actinopteri; Characiformes; Acestrorhamphidae. The record is from RNAcentral.
UCAAUGUAUAGGAGGUCCUGCCUGCCCAGUGACUAAAUUAAACGGCCGCGGUAUUUUGACCGUGCAAAGGUAGCGCAAUCACUUGUUUUUUAAAUAAAGACCUGUAUGAAUGGUGAAACGAGGGCUUAACUGUCUCCUUUUUCUGAUCAGUGAAAUUGAUCUACCCGUGCAGAAGCGGGUAUAAAAAUACAAGACGAGAAGACCCUAUGGAGCUUAAGACAAAAAAUCAACUAUGUUAAAAACCCCCAUUAAGGGAACAAAACAAAACAGCAACUGAUUAGGGUCUUCGGUUGGGGCGACGACGGGGGAAAACCAAUCCCCCACGUGGAAAAGAACACAAUUCUAAAACCAUAAGGCACACCUCUAAGUCACAUAACUUCUGACCAAAUGAUCCGGCAACCAGCCGAUCAACGAACCAAGUUACCCUAAGGAUAACAGCGCAAUCCCCUCCAAGAGUCCAUAUCGACAAGGGGGUUUACGACCUCGAUGUUGGAUCAGGACAUCCUAAUGGUGCAGCCGCUAUUAAGGGUUCGUUUGUUCAACAAUUAAAGUCCU